Molecule: ribosomal RNA, 492 nt
Filed under: uncultured bacterium
Lineage: Bacteria
Description: partial 16S ribosomal RNA
Rfam family: Bacterial small subunit ribosomal RNA
Source: RNAcentral
AGUGAACGCUGGCGGUAGGCCUAACACAUACAAGUCGAACGGCAGCACAGUAAGAGCUUGCUCUUACGGGUGGCGAGUGGCGGACGGGUGAGGAAUACAUCGGAAUCUACUUUUUCGUGGGGGAUAACGUAGGGAAACUUACGCUAAUACCGCAUACGACCUGCGGGUGAAAGCAGGGGAUCUUCGGACCUUGCGCGAUUGAAUGAGCCGAUGUCGGAUUAGCUAGUUGGCGGGGUAAAGGCCCACCAAGGCGACGAUCCGUAGCUGGUCUGAGAGGAUGAUCAGCCACACUGGAACUGAGACACGGUCCAGACUCCUACGGGAGGCAGCAGUGGGGAAUAUUGGACAAUGGGCGCAAGCCUGAUCCAGCCAUACCGCGUGGGUGAAGAAGGCCUUCGGGUUGUAAAGCCCUUUUGUUGGGAAAGAAAAGCAGCAGGUUAAUACCCCGCUGUUCUGACGGUACCCAAAGAAUAAGCACCGGCUAACUUCGUG